GGCCUUGUAGUCUAGAGGUACGAUACUUGCUUUGGGUGCUCUCGAUUGCAAGUGGCCUGGGUUCGAUUCCCAGCAAGGCCC
Pisolithus microcarpus is the source of this 81-nucleotide non-coding RNA. Lineage: Eukaryota; Fungi; Basidiomycota; Agaricomycetes; Boletales; Pisolithaceae. The record is from the annotation of a GenBank genome assembly.